GCCAGGCGUGGGGCUGUGCACCCCUAGUCCAGCUGCUCGGGAAGCUGAUGUGAGAGGCUUGCUUGAGCCCAUGAGUUAGAGACCAGGCUGGGCAACAUAGCUAGAACCCAUUUCUA
RNAcentral lists this small RNA (116 nucleotides) under Marmota monax (woodchuck). The record is from RNAcentral. Lineage: Eukaryota; Metazoa; Chordata; Mammalia; Rodentia; Sciuridae.